Molecule: long non-coding RNA, 494 nt
Organism: Haplochromis burtoni (Burton's mouthbrooder)
Lineage: Eukaryota; Metazoa; Chordata; Actinopteri; Cichliformes; Cichlidae
Exons: 3
Source: RefSeq, a predicted model, not a curated record
GUGACAGCCGCCCUCUCUCUGUUACCCGCUGACCACUGGGCUUGGCAUUCUCUCCACUCACCUGCCCUAUCACCGCCUCCACCAUAUCUCUAUCCUCGCCUCACUCUCACCUCAAAGUCUUCGUAGCGAGAAUGAGGAUCAACGCCUUAGUGUCAAAGAAGAGGAAUGUAGGCUAACAAUUCCUGGCUGCUGGCUUGCAAGUAUCGGUUCCGGGUGCUGACUUUGGUUUGUUGGUUUUUGAUAGAGGCUGACAAAGUGACAAACCUUGACUUCAAGUGUAACUGACUAAACAGACAUAACUUACUUUAUUUCAGAGAUCUCGCUCAAGGAGAAGCUCCUUUUUACUCGCCACUCACUACAGUCCUGAUCCCAGACGUGAAGCAGCGACAAAAGCCGGCUCGUCAGGGAUAACAGAUGAGCGCAGAUGAACAGUGUCAGAUUUUGGCCCUGAUUGGCAUUCUGUGACCAAACCUCAAAAUCAUAUUGUGAGUAUU